Molecule: ribosomal RNA, 466 nt
Filed under: uncultured bacterium
Lineage: Bacteria
Description: partial 16S ribosomal RNA
Rfam family: Bacterial small subunit ribosomal RNA
Source: RNAcentral
GAUGAACGCUGGCGGCGUGCUUAACACAUGCAAGUCUAACGAUGAAGCCCAGCUUGCUGGGUGGAUUAGUGGCGAACGGGUGAGCAACACGUGAGUAACCUGCCCUUAACUCUGGGAUAAGCCUGGGAAACUGGGUCUAAUACCGGAUAGGAGCGCCUACCGCAUGGUGGGUGUUGGAAAGAUUUAUCGGUUUUGGAUGGACUCGCGGCCUAUCAGCUUGUUGGUGAGGUAAUGGCUCACCAAGGCGACGACGGGUAGCCGGCCUGAGAGGGUGACCGGCCACACUGGGACUGAGACACGGCCCAGACUCCUACGGGAGGCAGCAGUGGGGAAUAUUGCACAAUGGGCGAAAGCCUGAUGCAGCGACGCCGCGUGAGGGAUGACGGCCUUCGGGUUGUAAACCUCUUUCAGUAGGGAAGAAGCGAAAGUGACGGUACCUGCAGAAGAAGCACCGGCUAACUACGUG